GGCCCAAACUUGAAAUAGAGUAGAUUAGUAGGAUUAGCUGACCCUGCUAAAUUGCUGUAUUUCAAGUUUGGACCC
Haemonchus placei is the source of this 75-nucleotide non-coding RNA. The record is from Rfam. Lineage: Eukaryota; Metazoa; Nematoda; Chromadorea; Rhabditida; Trichostrongylidae.